GUGGGGAAUCUUAGACAAUGGGCGCAAGCCUGAUCUAGCCAUGCCGCGUGAGCGAUGAAGGCCUUAGGGUUGUAAAGCUCUUUCAGUGGGGAAGAUAAUGACUGUACCCACAGAAGAAGCCCCGGCUAACUCCGUGCCAGCAGCCGCGGUAAUACGGAGGGGGCUAGCGUUGUUCGGAAUUACUGGGCGUAAAGCGCACGUAGGCGGACUGGAAAGUCAGGGGUGAAAUCCCGGGGCUCAACCCCGGAACUGCCUUUGAAACUCCCAGUCUUGAGGUCGAGAGAGGUGAGUGGAAGUCCGAGUGUAGAGGUGAAAUUCGUAGAUAUUCGGAGGAACACCAGUGGCGAAGGCGGCUCACUGGCUCGAUACUGACGCUGAGGUGCGAAAGCGUGGGGAGCAAACAGGAUUAGAUACCCGAGUAGUCC
This 425-nucleotide ribosomal RNA is filed under the name uncultured bacterium. RNAcentral describes it as "partial 16S ribosomal RNA". It matches the Rfam family "Bacterial small subunit ribosomal RNA", at positions 354 to 796 of the family's 1533-position model. The record is from RNAcentral.